RNAcentral lists this microRNA precursor (57 nucleotides) under Melibe leonina. Its description in RNAcentral is "microRNA mle-mir-2d precursor". Its record names the gene mle-mir-2d. Lineage: Eukaryota; Metazoa; Mollusca; Gastropoda; Nudibranchia; Dendronotidae. The record is from miRBase by way of RNAcentral.
CCUGUUCAGUGAUUGUGGUGUGUUGGAUUCUAUCAUAUCACAGUUAGUGAAUGGGGA